AAUGGGUGAGUAACACGUACCUAACCUACCUUUUGGACCGGGAUAACCAUUGGAAACAGCGGCUAAUACCAGAUACGAUAAAAAAAUGCAUGUUUUUUUAUUAAAAGAAGCCUUUAAAGCUUCACCAAAAAAUGGGGGUGCGCAACAUUAGUUAGUUGGUAGGGUAAAGGCCUACCAAGACGAUGAUGUUUAGCGGGGCCAAGAGGCUGUACCGCCACACUGGGAUUGAGAUACGGCCCAGACUCCUACGGGAGGCAGCAGUAAGGAAUAUUCCACAAUGAGCGAAAGCUUGAUGGAGCGACACAGAGUGCAGGAUGAAGUCUUUAGGGAUGUAAACUGCUGUUGUAAGGGAAGAAAAAACUAGAUAGGAAAUGAUUUAGUCUUGACGGUACCUUAUUAGAAAGUGACGGCAAACUAUGUGCCAGCAGCCGCGGUAAUACAUAGGUCGCAAGCGUUAUCCGGAAUUAUUGGGCGUAAAGCGUCCGCAGGUUUUUUGUUAAGUUUAAGGUUAAAUGCUAAAGCUCAACUUUAGUUCGCUUUAGAUACUGACAAAAUAGAAUUAUGAAGAGGUUAGCGGAAUUCCUAGUGGAGCGGUGGAAUGCGUAGAUAUUAGGAAGAACACCAAUAGGCGAAGGCAGCUAACUGGUCAUAUAUUGACACUAAUGGACGAAAGCGUGGGGAGCAAACAGGAUUAGAUACCCUGGUAGUCCACGCCGUAAACGAUGAUCAUUAGUUGGUGGCAAAAGUCACUAGCACAGCUAACGCGUUAAAUGAUCCGCCUGAGUAGUAUGCUCGCAAGAGUGAAACUUAAAGGAAUUGACGGGAACCCGCACAAGCGGUGGAGCAUGUGGUUUAAUUUGAAGAUACGCGUAGAACCUUACCCACUCUUGACAUCCUCGCAAAACUAUAGAGAUAUAGCGGAGGCUAACGAGAUGACAGAUGGUGCA
RNAcentral lists this ribosomal RNA (947 nucleotides) under Mesomycoplasma ovipneumoniae. Its description in RNAcentral is "bacterial SSU rRNA". It matches the Rfam family "Bacterial small subunit ribosomal RNA", at positions 101 to 1045 of the family's 1533-position model. Lineage: Bacteria; Bacillati; Mycoplasmatota; Mycoplasmoidales; Metamycoplasmataceae. The record is from RNAcentral.